This 457-nucleotide ribosomal RNA is filed under the name uncultured microorganism. RNAcentral's name for it is "bacterial SSU rRNA". It matches the Rfam family "Bacterial small subunit ribosomal RNA", at positions 346 to 794 of the family's 1533-position model. The record is from RNAcentral.
GUGCACCAGUCGCGAAUAGUCUACAAUGGACGAAAGUCUGAUAGUGCGACGCCGUGUGUGCGAUUAAUUCCUUCGGGAUGUAAAGCACUUUUCUAUGAGAUAAAAGCUCUUUAGGUUAAUAGCUUAUUGAGACGGAUAUUAUUAUAGGAAUAAGCUCCGGCUAACUCCGUGCCAGCAGCCGCGGUAAUACGGAAGGAGCGAGCGUUGUCCGGAUUUACUAGGCGUAAAGGGCUAGUAGGCGACUAAUUAAGUUAUAUGUUAAAUCCCACGGCUCAACUGUGGUCCUGCAUGUAAUACUGGUUAGAUAGAGUACUGUAGAGGAAGGCAGAAUUCCUGGAGUAGCGGUGGAAUGCGCAGAUAUCAGGAGAAUACCAAAAGCGAAGGCAGCCUUCUGGGCAGUUACUGACGCUGAAUAGCGAAGGUGUGGGUAGCGAACAGGAUUAGAUACCCGGGUAGU